CGCGACGGGUGCGUAACACGUAUGUAAUUUGCCCAUAACUGGGGGAUAGCCUUCCGAAAGGAAGAUUAAUACCCAUAACAUAAUGAAAAGGCAUCUUUUUAUUAUUAAAACUCCGGUGGUUAUGGAUGAGCAUGCGUCUGAUUAGCUAGUUGGCGAGGUAACGGCUCACCAAGGCAACGAUCAGUAGGGGGUCUGAGAGGAUGAUCCCCCACACGGGUACUGAGACACGGACCCG
Molecule: ribosomal RNA, 235 nt
Filed under: uncultured bacterium
Lineage: Bacteria
Description: partial 16S ribosomal RNA
Rfam family: Bacterial small subunit ribosomal RNA
Source: RNAcentral